AUGAUCGUACAAAUCUUGACAUUGACAUAUUACCAGCCGAAAGAGCAACCAUAGACCUCGAAAACUUGACAUUUUAAUGCAAAGAAGCUAACUGGAAAAUUUAAAUCCUGCAGAAGAUGACACUUACCAAAGAUAAGAAGGUUGAACACACCUAAAGACUCCAAAACAAUUUAGGCUUCAAAAUUGGAGUAAUAUUUAAGAAAAUGGCUAACCAAACCAAAAGCAAGGAUUGAUUUAGAUGAAAUCCAAGCAUCUCAUUGUGUCCUAGGUGGAGUGUCACCUGAAAAUUCUAAAAAAGAGCUAAACUCGGGACAAUUCAAAGAGACAAGAUAGUCUAGGAAAGUUCACAACAACUGAAUUCACAUAUUUUAACAGAUGUAAGAUUACUGAGAUUAUGAAUUUUUUUUGUUGCUCAAUGAUGCAUUGUUCUCACUCUUUCUGUGAUCUUUUAUCCUCCUCCAAUUCCAUGGCAAGCUUCUCUCGCUCUAAUUCAUACUGAUGAAUGAAGAAUAAGCAGUCAUGAGCUACGUCAAUGCAAGAUAAGAUCAAUAUUCUACUCUUAACAAAAACAAACAAAUAGUAAUAAUAAUUACCGUCAGUAGGUCAUUUCUAAGUUUCAGUAAAUCUUUGCUCAAGCACCUCGGAAUGUGAUCCCUAUGUAAGAGUUUUCAUCCCAUAUUAGAUAUUCUUUGUGCAACUUUUGAAUAUGAAUCUUGAGAUCGAGACAAGACAAUCACCUGAAGUUUCAUGCGUAGUACCUCCAUUUCCCUUUUGGCUGCUUUAAUAAGGCUGCAUCAUUUUAGUAUCUACAAAGAAGUUUGAACUACAAUAGGCUCUGCCUUAGACGUCAAAAGAAAGAAGCUAGUAAUUAAUAAGAAGUUCCAUUAUUUGGUUCCACUGGGAAGAAAAUCUGCAAGAAAGGAUUCUACAAGGAUGAAACUUGUGAUUUGUAAGAUAAUAAAAAUUAAAACCACUUAAAGAAUGCUCUAUACUGCUUGAAGGUAAAACUCGCCUCCUUUUUGCUUUAAAAAUUGGUGCUCGAAUAGAUGUUUUAGACUACACUCUAUAGUAUCUAUAUACCAGAACAAAAUUAAUUGUUGCAUCAUUUAGGAGUUUUCAGAAAAACAAAUCUUUUUGGAUGAGAUUUGUUAAACCUUGGUUAUGACAGAAAAAAAUGUAGUGCCUAAGUGCUGAAAUUGCAUUGUAGCUUGAUUUGAAAGUUUUGAAUGGAAGAUAUAGUGUCUUACGAACUAAUGUUAAACUAACCUAAUUAUAGUCACAGGAACACUUCUAUUCACAACAACAUACGUGACCAUUAAAUCUCAUUAGGUGUUCUCUAAAGUGGAUCACGAACAAGUAAUUACAUAAAAAGAAUAGUAAAUGGAGGCAGACCUCAUUAACUUGAACACAAUUGGUGAUCCGUUUAACUCUGCUAGCAGAUUGGAGUAUUCCCUUCAAUACAACACAUAACCAUUAUAAUUUGUGUAUCAGUGUAAAAUUUCAAACAAAAUGAGAAUCAACUUGUGUUGAUUUGCGCUGCUUCAAAUCUUAAUUGUUAAAUGAAACUAACGCAGUCUUUUUGAAGAAAAAAAAGGGACAUACGAUGUAUGUAAUCUAGAAACGCAACUCAAUUGAAGAGAUAAAAAUAUAGAAUAGUGCCACAGAUUUAGAGAAAUAAAGAAAUAGCUAAGAGAAAAAUGAAACUGAAAAGGAGAACUAAAAUGACUCGCAAUAAAAAAUAAAGCAACUGUCCGCCGGCAAUUAACCCUUCUCUUUUUAUUUUUUCAAUGUAUUUUUCAAAUCAAAGUUUCAGCAGUUACUUUCAUUGAUAGACAAAAAAUGUCGAGCAAAGACCUGGCAACAACCAUGAAAUAAGAGGGUCUGAAGAGACUCCGAAAAAGCAAGAGAAAAUACGUACAAAGAAAUCUUGUUUCACUGUUGAUAGAAUAACCUAACUGUUGCUUCUAGAAUUUGACCAGAGUGAGUAAACGACAGAGCUAGUAUAAUAUAAUUGAGCUAAAUGACUGAUAGAACUAAUGUCAAUGCUUCUGUAGAUUUUUUCCCAACUCUUCAAACUCCACAUCUCCUAUAGCUAUGAUAAGGAAGAGACAUCUUAUAUUAAUAUCAUGUCUUUUUUGUACUACUAUAUGAGCAAGCAAAUAGAACUGAUGUCAAUUCUCUAUAGUAUUUUUCUAGAUUUUUCCCCAACUCCUCACCCCCUGCCCCUCCUUUUCUAUAGUUAUGAUUUAAAAAAAAUUACAAUGCAAAUCUUCAAAUGCUCGCAGUCCACCACAAUUGAAAAUUAUCUUCCCAAAUUAAGACGGCAGAGGCAACAAUUGAUUUUAUUAUUUAUUUGAAAGAACAUGAAGCCAUAUGUAAAUUAUUGUUUUUUUCAUUUUCAUAUGCUCUUUGCCAGAAAUCAUUCGCAAGGCAGCUAAUAUCAAACAAUAUAGAUUACAAUCACACAAAUCAGUAUUUUUCAAAAUUGAAGAAAAAAAGAGUGAGAGAAGAGAAAGGGAGAGGAACUUACCGGUACAAGAGAACAGAGGAGUGAGGAGUGAACUCGGUUGGUGCCUAUUUAUUUGUGUCAAACACCUAGUAAUUCUAGAAAAAUCACGUAAGUUGUGGUUUCUAGAAAAUCAGGUGAUUUGUGGAGGAAAUAUACCACAAAGUUGAUGGAAUUUUAAAAAUAAAAUAGAUAUGAAAUACCAAAAUUUGCCCUUAAUGUACUGUUCAUCCUUUUAGCAGAAUUAGACAUUUCUCUGCAUAAUUUAAAUCGCAAUACAUACAUCCAAAUAAACAUCAAACCCUAGAUUAUCACUGACAUUAAACUAUGUUCUUAAUGGAGCAUCACAAGACUCCUCCUUUAAAUAAAACAACAAAAUAAAACCCAUAAUAUAUGCUGAAAAAUCGCUGAUUAUAACAAUAUCUCGAAAUAUAACCCGAAGAUCUUAAAUUUCUCAUAACAGAGAAUCAGGAAGCACAUAUAUUUGUAUUGAUAGAAACAAUCGAAAAGGAAAAAAAGUAUACACCUUCUUACUUGAAACCCUUUGCAGUUGAUUAUAUGUGUGACUUGCUCAAAAGCACCUUUCUUGAAAUCUAAAAUUGAGAUAGAUUAAUUAUUAUGAGGAGCUUUGAUAACCAAAAUUGAAUAUUUUGAAGAGAUAGAAGAACCAGAGAGUUUAGGAGGAAGAAUAGGAUCCCAAGAGAAAUGAGAUUCCAGAAAGUACGGCUAACAAGA
Molecule: long non-coding RNA, 3241 nt
Filed under: Solanum tuberosum (potato)
Lineage: Eukaryota; Viridiplantae; Streptophyta; Magnoliopsida; Solanales; Solanaceae
Description: long non-coding RNA (STUB_LNC006643)
Source: RNAcentral